Aegilops tauschii subsp. strangulata is the source of this 2107-nucleotide long non-coding RNA. RefSeq lists it as uncharacterized. The record is from RefSeq and is a predicted model, not a curated record. NCBI's taxonomy places the organism in Eukaryota, Viridiplantae, Streptophyta, Magnoliopsida, Poales, Poaceae.
CCCGCCCCUCUCUCUCUCCCGCUCGUCUCUCUCCCUCUCCCUCCCGCGAGCAGCUACGGCGGCCUCCCUCGACCCCGCGCUGCUGCGGCACCUCGCCUCCGCCCGCCGGUGCGCGCCGCCACCUCACCGGACCCCAGGAGCCCCGCCGCCUCGCGCCGCCACCUCCCCACAAGCUCGCCGCCCCGCCGCGGAAGCCUCGUCGCCGGUCGCCCCGACCUCGAGAUCCUCCGCCGCCAUGGGAGCCGAGCACCGAGCUCCUCUGCGCCCCGCCUGCGUCCCCGCGUCGCCGCCGCCGCCCCACGCUGCCUUGCGCCGGAUCCAGCCGCGGGAGGUCCGGCCACUCCGGAUCCGGCCUCCUCCUCGCCGCAUCCAACCAAUCACUCUGCUCUGCCCUCUGUUGCCAACGGGCAAGUCGUCAGAUGAAAGGCGAAACGACAACGGAGAGCAGCGCAGAGCCCCCUACUUUUCCGCCUCCGUCACCGCGCCCAUGGCAGGCGGCCGCGGCGGCUGAAGGAAGACGGCGACCCCCUCCUCCUCCUCAUCCCGGAGCAAGUGUGCUGCUCGACGGGGGUGGCGGCUAGUGCUGCCUUCUCGCCGGCACAGACCCUGCAUCGCAGGGAGCUAGUCGAACAUUCACAAUUUUCCUGUGUGAGUUACGAAUUUCAUACCUUCUUUAGUUACUGCAAAUUCAAUGUUUAUUCCCUGUACCGAAGUAGUCUGAAGAACAAACAUUAAAUUUCUCUGCCGAAAGAGCCACUCAAAUAUUAGUGAUUUCUCUUGGAGAGAUACAUGUCUUCUCUAGUUGUGGAUUUGGGCAUUUGGCAUAUGUUGGUCUUCUAUAUAUCUGGCUCUGUACCCACAAGUAAAGAUGAACCAGCUUAAUUUAGCUACUUGGAUGCCCAAAAUUGCUUCAGGCAAGGAGCGUUGGCAAGGUAAUUGCUGAAGUCCUAUAUAUUCAGGCAACAAAGGUGAUGGGUAUGUCUUGUUUUUUGGGUUUUUUUAAUCUUCACGUGUGUGUUGUAACUGUGUAUGUGCUGACUACUCACCAACAGGGGUUAAAAGUAACCCGUUGCCAUGUAAAGUUGACUAGUUGUGUUGCGUUGUGUGCGUGUGCGUGUGCAUAACGUACACAUUGUUGAGCAAUAUACUUAGUUGACCACUGAGAUUCCGGAGAGUUUCUGGCAUCCAAAUUAAGGGAGUUCAGAACUGAAACCUGGCUUGCAAGCUACAACUUGGGCUAGAGCCCUCACAAUGCAGAACUGCUCCGCUCAAAAAACAGAGCAGCUAGCCAACCAAACUGAGAUACAAUGUAGACCAGGCAGGCAGCAAGUACUCCAACUAGUUGGCAGAAUAAUUUUUUUUCCUUCCAAUCCCCUUCCUACUAUUGUGAUUACCACCAGCAAACAACUGUUGAUCAAUAGUACUAUUCACUUCUACUAUUGUGCUCGGCAGAGAAUUUUAUCCGGCCUCCUCCGCGGGAAAGAAUACAGUGGAUCUUUUUUGGUUAGGCGAAUUUUAUGUCUGUACAUGCUUGAUAUGAAACGAGGGGUUUAUCUAAUGAACCACACAUAUGGUUUCACAUUCCACCUGUGUGCUCACAAUUUAAAUGCAGUAUAUUUUACUCACUAAUACAUCUUGAACAAUCAAAAAAGCUGAGUUAAAAGGUUCCACCUGUUUCUGAUAUAAUUCUGCUCUAAAAGCCCUACACUAUUUUUGUCUUGAUCUAAAUGCUGAGUUAAAAGGUCUUAACUUUGCACUAAUUUAAGAUUGUCUUGAUCUCAAGUGCUGGCUCCUACAGCAUUACAUUUCACCAAGUGAAAUGCUACAUUUCUACUCCUAACCCAUUCUCUCUUUCUUAGUGUUUUUGUUAUGCAGGUUGGAAGAAAAGAAGAAAAUCCAGAGAAGAUCUUAGUAAUAAGAUAGUUUUUAGGAAAAUAGAUAUUUAGUUUUAGGUCAUUUCUUGUAAUUUCAGAUAUGGAGUGCUUGUCUUUAGUUUUUGUUUUUACUUUGUGAAACUUGCUACCUAUGGAUGAAACUGUGUAAUAUUGAUGAAACUAUGUAUAUGUAUGGAUGAAACUUGCUACUAUUGGUAACAUGUGUUGGAUAU